CAGUCGCCACGGUAAUACGUAGGUGGCAAGCGUUGUCCGGAAUUAUUGGGCGUAAAGGGCUCGCAGGCGGUUUCUUAAGUCUGAUGUGAAAGCCCCCGGCUCAACCGGGGAGGGUCAUUGGAAACUGGGAAACCUGAGUGCAGAAGAGGAGAGUGGAAUUCCACGUGUAGCGGUGAAAUGCGUAGAGAUGUGGAGGAACACCAGUGGCGAAGGCGACUCUCUGGUCUGUAACUGACGCUGAGGAGCGAAAGCGUGGGGAGCGAACAGGAUUAGAUACCCGUGUAGUCCCUGUCUCUUAUAC
RNAcentral lists this ribosomal RNA (301 nucleotides) under uncultured bacterium. RNAcentral describes it as "partial 16S ribosomal RNA". It matches the Rfam family "Bacterial small subunit ribosomal RNA", at positions 509 to 807 of the family's 1533-position model. The record is from RNAcentral.